UUUUACUCCCCCGGGGUAGAAAAGUAUAUCAAUAAGACGGAGGAAAAGAAACCAACCGGGAUUGCCUUAGUAACGGCGAGUGAAGCGGCAAAAGCUCAAAUUUGAAAUCUGGCGUCUUCGACGUCCGAGUUGUAAUUUGAAGAAGGCGACUUUGUAGCUGGUCCUUGUCUAUGUUCCUUGGAACAGGACGUCAUAGAGGGUGAGAAUCCCGUGUGGCGAGGAUCCCAGUUAUUUUGUAAAGUGCUUUCGACGAGUCGAGUUGUUUGGGAAUGCAGCUCUAAGUGGGUGGUAAAUUCCAUCUAAAGCUAAAUAUUGGCGAGAGACCGAUAGCGAACAAGUACAGUGAUGGAAAGAUGAAAAGAACUUUGAAAAGAGAGUGAAAAAGUACGUGAAAUUGUUGAAAGGGAAGGGCAUUUGAUCAGACAUGGCGUUUGCUUCGGCUUUCGCUGGGCCAGCAUCAGUUUUAGCGGUUGGAUAAAUCCUCGGGAAUGUGGCUCUGCUUCGGUAGAGUGUUAUAGCCCGUGGGAAUACAGCCAGCUGGGACUGAGGAUUGCGACUUUUGUCAAGGAUGCUGUCGUAAUGGUUAAAUGCCGCCCGCGAAAAAAAAACAAAAAAAAAAAA
Molecule: ribosomal RNA, 621 nt
Filed under: Kluyveromyces marxianus
Lineage: Eukaryota; Fungi; Ascomycota; Saccharomycetes; Saccharomycetales; Saccharomycetaceae
Description: partial 18S ribosomal RNA
Rfam family: Eukaryotic large subunit ribosomal RNA
Source: RNAcentral